RNAcentral lists this long non-coding RNA (727 nucleotides) under Salmo salar (Atlantic salmon). RNAcentral's name for it is "lncRNA (ENSSSAG00000091261.1)". Lineage: Eukaryota; Metazoa; Chordata; Actinopteri; Salmoniformes; Salmonidae. The record is from RNAcentral.
CAGGCUACAUACUAUACUGGCAGACUACAUACUAUACUGGCAGACUACAGGCUACAUAGUAUAUUGGCAGACUACAGAUGACAUACUGUACUGGCAGACUACAUACAUACUGGCGGACUACAUACUAUACUGGCAGACUACAGGCUACAUACUAUACUGGCCGACUACAGACGACAUUCUAUACUGGCAGACUACAGGCUACAUACUACACUGGCAGACUAUAUACUGUACUGGCAGACUACAGACUAUACUGGCAGACUGCAGGCUACAUACUAUACUGGCAGACUACAAGCUUCAUACUAUACUGGCAGACUACAGACUAUACUGGCAGACUAUAUACUAUACUGGCAGACUACAGGCUACAUACUAUAUUGGCAGACUAUAUACUGUACUGGCAGACUACAGACUAUACUGGCAGACUGCAGGCUACAUACUAUACUGGCAGACUACAAGCUACAUAAUAUACUGGCAGACUAUAUACUAUACUGGCAGACUACAGACUAUACUGGCAGACUAUAUACUAUACUGGCAGACUACAGGCUACAUACUAUACUGGCAGACUAUAUACUAUACUGGCAGACUACAGGCUACAUACUAUAUUGGCAGACUAUAUACUAUACUGGCAGACUACAGGCUACAUACUACACUGGCAGACUAUAUACUAUACUGGCAGACUACAGGCUACAUACUAUAUUGGCAGACUAUAUACUAUACUGGCAGACUACAG